RNAcentral lists this transfer RNA (37 nucleotides) under Goeppertia sciuroides. Its description in RNAcentral is "partial tRNA-Leu". Lineage: Eukaryota; Viridiplantae; Streptophyta; Magnoliopsida; Zingiberales; Marantaceae. The record is from RNAcentral.
RAAAUCCGUCGACUUUAGAAAUCGUGAGGGUUCAAGU